Molecule: RNA transcript, 2912 nt
Organism: Chinchilla lanigera (long-tailed chinchilla)
Lineage: Eukaryota; Metazoa; Chordata; Mammalia; Rodentia; Chinchillidae
Gene name: hematopoietic prostaglandin D synthase-like
Exons: 3
Source: RefSeq, a predicted model, not a curated record
GUGAAGCAAUGAAGGUGCAGUAACAAAAAGGGAUUCGUUUGGCCAUGCAGAUGUUCUUAACCUGAUUCUGUUUAGCAGUGCAGUGUGGAAAAUGGGCAUAGGCUGUUAUCUGAAGGAAUGCUUAGGCUCAUUUUUUCUUAGACUGAGGUUUUCUAGGUUAGCCAGGUUUUUGGAAAGUCCAAGACAUCCCUGCAUAAAAGACCCUGUGUAGUGGUGAAAAUUCCCGCCUGUCAUGUUUCUUGCAAGACUCACAGUGUAGUUUUGUCCCCUUAACCUCUGUGAUUCUCCUGAUCGUGAAGGACUACAAAGCUGGCGGCCUCAGACAGGGUCCUGCCGGCUCUUCCCGCAGGGGGCGCAGCAGCUUGGAGCUGGGGACCUUUGCCAGAGACCUGAAAAGCACCUGGAGGAAAGCUCAGUGGGCCAGAGCAGAAGGGUAUUUGAAUUCCUCCCCUUCCCUUCGUGUUUGGUAGGUAAACUUUCCCCAUGCCCUGUUGACAGAGUGGACGUUGUGAUGGAGCCCAGCAUCGUGAAGUCAGCCUGGAGGCUCUUGGAAGUGUGCUUGUGUGCAGGGAAGCAGAAGGGGAGUUCCCAGUUCCCGGUGGGCCUUGUCACUCUAACACAGUCAAAGGUCCACUCGGUUCCCUUUCAGUAACAGCCAUUUGAAACAAACGUAGGCUCCUGAGGUUAUCUUUAUUGAUGAACUAGUAUUGCUAAGAAAGAGGAGAGGUGCAGAAAGUGAGGGAGAGGGUAGGGUGACUGGUGGAGGGAGAGCAAAGGUGGGGCCAGGCUUCCUGUUGGGUGUGGGGCUGUGUGAUGGGUAGCAGGCUCCUGGAUAGUUGGAGUGGAUCCCAAAGGGCCCGUGCAUUCGGCGAGCGGGGAUUAGGAAAGCCCAGCUCUAGGUGAAAGAGCCUGAGGACUAGGCCACGGGGGGAUGGCCCUGGCUGAUUGGGAAUGCUGGCUGGGGUGAGACCUUGGGUGAGAUACCCUAGUUGCGGAUGGUAUGGAGACCCUUUGUCCCUGUUUUGUGGAGGAGGCAGAAGAGGAGGAGGGGAUCUCCCAGGAUGUGGCCUGUAGGAAGCGUGAGAAAGAACAUGGCUCCAGCUGUAGGAAGGGGUGGAGCCAUCAAGCCUUGUCUUGAGGGUGGGCUUAGGGGCGGUGAGUUGCAGGAGACCCUUGUGAAAACCUCUGAAUGAACUUCUGUGUCCUGAAGUUUUAAGUAAUAAUGCAUAUAUUUGUCUAAUUUGAAAAUAUCAUCACAUAGCUCAAAAUGUAGUUAACUUAUGUUUGUCAGAAAUAGCAUCUCCGUUUCAUAUAUUCUUAUAAACGCUGAUACAAGCAGACCCAGACCCCCAAAUUAGGAAUAAAGUGUCUUAAACUUUUUCUUUCAUGUGCCAAAGAACCCACACAUGUGCAGCCUGUUAGGUGAUCAUUUUGUUUCACUCCAGUUCUUUACUUUUGCCCUUCUGAGGCUGAGGCUCCAUACCUGAAGACACUCUCCAGGGGAAAUAUUUACAAUAACUAACACUCUACCUUUGUAUUAGGAAAACAAUGCCCUUAUCUACAUAGCACCUAGCCUCAAAAACCAGUUUCACAGAACACAGCCUUCCAAGUUCAUGAAUAAAUCAUAGGAUGCAAGAGCAUGUUUCAAAACAACUUCCAGUAGCUACAGAGUAUGGAAUUAACCAAAAGGACCUGACCAGUACACAGUGAAAAAGAGUCAGGUGUUUAAUGAGCUGCUUACACGUGAGGCACCUCACCUUCUGCAAGAUUUGGAAACAUAUUUAGGGGACAAAGAGUGGUUGACUGGUAACUCUGUGACUUGGGCAGAUUUCUACUGGGACAUCUGUAAUACCACACUCCUGGUCUUUAAACCUGACUUGCUGGACAGCCACCCGAGGCUGGGGACUUUGCGGAAGAAAGUCCAAGCCAUUCCCCGCAUCGCUGCCUGGGUGCAAUACAGACCCCAGACCAGACUCUAGCUGAUCUGUGCCAUCUCUGGCUUUGCUGUUCACAAUCAUCUCUCCCUCCAAACACGCCAGCUCCAUCACCUGCCCCAAUAGCCUUCCACACAUUCCCCACCCUACCUCCACCAGGACAUCCACUAUUGCCAUAUCCUGGAUUGAAAAAUAGUAUUGAGUUUUUAUUCUCUUUAUUUCUAAACAGUAGUUUCUCACCACUCAUGUUUUCUUGUUUUUUGAGACUGUAUCUUCCUAGGUAGUACAGACUGCCUUGAACUCACUUUUAGCCCUUGAAUUCACACAGAUAUUCCUUCCUUGUUCACCCAAGUGUUGGGAUUACAAGCAUCCAAGACCAGGCCUGGAAAAUUUCACACCAUUUAUCACUAAGGAAAAAUAGUUUACAUGUAGACAUACAAACUUGGCAGCUAGCUCUUUAAUCCACAGUUCUUUACAUUAAGAAUGUGCACAUGAGAAGUGAUGAUCUGUGGUGUUGGUGAUUUGCACAGACAGCAUAGGGUGCUAUUGAAUUGCUUUCUUGUGACCAAUUGAUAAAUCCAUUGGAUAUGUUGCAAAAUAAACAUACAGCAAAAGAACAAAAAAUGGAGUUAAAUUCAAAUCAAAUGUAAGUGAAGAUAUAGGAAAAGAGCUGCAUGUGUAGGGAAUAUCACACUGCUAGAGGUGAGCAGGUUCUAGACAGGAACUUACUGCGGGAAAUGUGAUUGGCAGAAAUAAGGAGGCUGGGUACUGGAGGCUGAACCUGAGCCUUUACACUGAGCUAUUAUUUUUUUAAAUUUUGAGACACGGUCUCCCUAAGCUGCUACGUCACUGAGACUAGGCUCAAACUUGUGAUCCUCCCAGAGUGCUGAGAUUACAGGUGUGCUUCACCAUACCCUUCUGGGAAGGUGGCUGUGGACCAAAAUGUUUUAAAGGGCUCAAGGAAUGAUACUGGCAAAA